Molecule: long non-coding RNA, 378 nt
Filed under: Pongo abelii (Sumatran orangutan)
Lineage: Eukaryota; Metazoa; Chordata; Mammalia; Primates; Hominidae
Description: lincRNA
Source: RNAcentral
UAUUACAGUAGGAACAGAGGCAACAGUUACAUGGGUAGAUGGCAGGGAUAGAAAAGAUUUUAGUUUUGAUACAUUGAAUUUGACAUGCUUUUUGAAAAUCUUCAGAUGGUGAUGUACAAACUACUGCAGGAACAUACGAGGAAAGAUGAGAGAAUCCACAGACCCUUUGAAGGAAGCAGAUUGCUCCUGCAGGGCCUAGGAGACAGCCCAAACACUGGGUCCUUAGGGAGAGGUGCCAGAGGAGCUGGAAAAAGGCCACAGGGAGAAGGAAGGCUCCAGCUGAACUUGAUUGACCCAUCAUUUGGAUGUCCCAAAACCACAGAUGCAAUAGAAGAAUGGAACAAAUUUAUACAUUUUGUCAAUGAAAACUUUAUCUUC